Molecule: ribosomal RNA, 180 nt
Filed under: uncultured Glomeromycotina
Lineage: Eukaryota; Fungi; Glomeromycota
Description: partial small subunit ribosomal RNA
Source: RNAcentral
GGGUUUACCCAUUGGUCAGGCUUAAUUGUCUGUACUGGUGAGAUAAAUCUCUACCUUCUGAGGAACUUUCAUGUCAUUAAUUUGGUGUGAUUGGAAAUCAGGACUGUUACUUUGAAAAAAUUAGAGUGUUCAAAGCAGGCGUAACCUUGCCAUUGAAUAUUACAGCAUGGGAUAAUAGAA